AUGUUAGACCCCAUUAUCCCUAAAUUUGAUGUUAACUAUUUAGCGGGACAGUUCCUUGACCAGACCAAUUGUGGAUCAUAUGAACCGGUGUUUUCUCCGUUGCAAAGCACAUGCGUCGUGCUAGGGAGCAUGGGUGUGGUGAUGGUGCAUGCACCAAGUGUAGUUGAGAAAAUAACUCACCAUCAUUACAAGUCCGCAAAAUUACAAGUCGGCACAGGAAGGGGCUCUCGAAGCAGCAUGCUCGAGUAUGAUGAUCAAGCUCUUCACCUUGGGAUUGAUCAUGUUCGUUAUGAAUAUGCGCACAACAAGACCACCAUCAACAAUGAUGGCGAAGGGAAGAAGUGGUAA
RNAcentral lists this ribosomal RNA (348 nucleotides) under Triticum aestivum (bread wheat). RNAcentral's name for it is "partial small subunit ribosomal RNA". Lineage: Eukaryota; Viridiplantae; Streptophyta; Magnoliopsida; Poales; Poaceae. The record is from RNAcentral.